Molecule: long non-coding RNA, 1722 nt
Filed under: Homo sapiens (human)
Lineage: Eukaryota; Metazoa; Chordata; Mammalia; Primates; Hominidae
Description: non-protein coding lnc-KLF8-4:6
Source: RNAcentral
ACUAGCAAACAACCUCAGCUUCAUAAAUCCAGCAGAAAGGUCCGGGGUAUUGUUGAAAAGGUCGGAAGGACCAAGAUUAUGUCCGCCAGCCUAAGUGGGACGAACAACCAAGUUGUGCGAUGCAGCUUUAAAGGGGCUGGUGAUUGACAGAAUGGUGUAGUAGUAGAUGGGGUGGAGCCGCUGGGUGGGGUCGAGACUGGCAGCUGAGAGAUACCAAAAGGAAGAAAAAAGAAAACCAUUGCUCUUGAUAUUGCUAAUGCCGGGGGAGGUAAGCUAACGAGAAAGUAGGGAAAAGGAAGGUUUUAGAGUUCACCUCCACUCCUUCCCCUGGCUAACACUCUUUACACUCUUCUGCCUUCCCUUGAGAUAAUUAAAAUAGACUGUACACCGGCCCUAGUCGGUGCCCAUUCCCCCUAACUCUUCACUCAACUACGUGUGUAGUCCGAGGGAGUGAGGACCCCGGGUCCAAGAGCUCAAUCCCGGCCCCGCCCCGUCGGCCCAGGCCCCGGGGCUGGGAGGAGAGGAUGCCUUCGGAGGCGCAGAAUCCGAAAAGAUGUGGUUGGAGCUGGAAGCUGUUAUCCUCAGCAAACUAAUGCAGGAGGAGAAAACCAAAUACUGCAAGUUCUCACUUAUAAGUGGGAACUGAAUGAUGAGAACAUUUGGACAUGAAGCUGGGCAGAGAAAUCGAGCUGCAAAAUGACCUACAGAUAUUACAGUUUUAUUCUUGGAAAAUGGAGGUUGUCUAUUAGUGUGAUGGUAACAACCAACUAAUAAAAUUUGGAGACUAGACUGCUUGUCAUGUCUGGGGUUCACUGGAAAUCAAUGAUUCACUGGAACAAUUCUCCUGUCAAAAAAAAUGUGAGGUUUGUAACUUGCCCUAAGUAUAACAAGGGAUAUAUUUUAACAAAGGAUGUAUUUUUUCUUAAGAAGCAACCAUUUCUCAGCUUAUACAUAAUAGCAAUAAUAAAGUCUUUGACCCUAUUAAUGAUUUUCUUAUUUAAUCUUGAUUUUUACAGUUCAUCACUGCAUUUCAUUAUGGGAAGAUUUAAAUAUUAAAUAGAAACUAGCUAGCUUAAUAAAAUCUGAACACAGUUAAUGUCUGUCAUAAUGCUCAUUUUAAUACAUUUCUAUCCUUCAUUCUGUUGAUAUUAUGUAUCAUAUUGAUUGAUUUGCACACAAUUCACCAUCAUUGCAUCCCAGGGAUUGCACUUGGUCAUGAUGAAGGAUCUUUCUAAUGUAUUGUUGAAUUUGGUUUGCUCAUAGUUUGUUGAGGAUUUUUGCAUCAAUAUUCAUUAGAGAUAUUGGCCUGUAAUUUUUUUAUAUGUCUUUGUCUGCUUUUGGAAUCAGGGCAAUACUAGCCUUGUGGAAUGAAUUUUAAAGUAUUCCCUUUUCACCUAUUUUUUCUGAAUAAUUUGAGUAGGAUUGGUGUUAGAUCUUCUUUAAAUGUUUGGUGGAAUUCACCAGUGAAGCCACUGGGUCCCAGGAUUUUCUUUACUGGGAGACUUUUUAAUACAGCUUCCAUCUCAUGACUUAUUAUUCAUCUGUUUGUGUUUUGGAUUUUGUAUUAGUCUGUUUUCAGGCUGCUAAUAAAGACAUACCCAAGACUGGAUAACUUAUAAAGGAAAGAGGUUUAAUUGACUCACAGUUCCACAUGGCUGGGGAGACCUCACAAUCAUGGUGGAAGGCUAAUGAGGAGCAAAGUCACGUCUUACAUAACAGCAG